GACGAACGCUGGCGGCGUGCUUGACACAUGCAAGUCGAACGGAAAGACCCUGCUUUUGUGGGGUGCUCGAGUGGCGAACGGGUGAGUAACACGUGAGUAACCUGCCCUUGACUUUGGGAUAACUACAGGAAACUGGGGCUAAUACCGGAUAGGAGCUCCUGCUGCAUGGUGGGGGUUGGAAAGUUUCGGCGGUUGGGGAUGGACUCGCGGCUUAUCAGCUUGUUGGUGGGGUAGUGGCUUACCAAGGCUUUGACGGGUAGCCGGCCUGAGAGGGUGACCGGCCACAUUGGGACUGAGAUACGGCCCAGACUCCUACGGGAGGCAGCAGUGGGGAAUAUUGCACAAUGGGCGGAAGCCUGAUGCAGCAACGCCGCGUGCGGGAUGACGGCCUUCGGGUUGUAAACCGCUUUCGCCUGUGACGAAGCGUGAGUGACGGUAAUGGGUAAAGAAGCACCGGCUAACUACGUG
RNAcentral lists this ribosomal RNA (468 nucleotides) under uncultured bacterium. Its description in RNAcentral is "partial 16S ribosomal RNA". It matches the Rfam family "Bacterial small subunit ribosomal RNA", at positions 28 to 507 of the family's 1533-position model. The record is from RNAcentral.